This 946-nucleotide long non-coding RNA is filed under the name Felis catus (domestic cat). RNAcentral describes it as "lncRNA (ENSFCAG00000044209.2)". The record is from RNAcentral. Lineage: Eukaryota; Metazoa; Chordata; Mammalia; Carnivora; Felidae.
CCGUCGCCGCCGCCGCCGCCCAGGCGCUCCGCUGGCCGCGAUCGGCUCGGCAAGCUCCCAGGCCGGCUCGGGCCCUGCUCUCGCGCCCACCGAACGCUCCGCCCACCCUCUCUCCCUUAGGGGAGGGGCCGGCUCCGUCAGCGGCAGUGCCCGGCGGGAGACCCCGCCCACCUGCGCCUCCAGGCCGCCCUAGCCAGGAGGCGCCCCGCCCACCCCGAGGCCACAGGGGUUCCCCUGGUUGUGGGGGGGGGAGGGGGUUCCUUUUCCCAGGAAAGGGCUGUGAUCAGGUCACCGGGACGACGGUUACCCAGGCUGCCUGUCCCGCCCAGACACGCCCCUGGCUGUAGGCUUGGGGUUUCUGAUAUCCCUGAGGCUGUUUUCUGUCUGGACGUGUCAGAGACUCUAUCUCUUUGUACGUGUGUGUCUGUGUGUGUGGUUUGAUUAAACUAAGGCGGGUUGGGUUGAAGCCAUCGGCAAGCCCUGGCUUGAUAAAACCUGUGCAGAGGCACAGCGUCUUUCUCAGCGUCUUCCUUUGACCGCAGGCCUCAAACGGAACCCAGAAACAGAACUCUCCCAGCCCCGGGGACUCCUAGGAAAUAAACAGUGCUUUUCUGAUAAAGAUAUAAGCUUGGUGAACUCACAGACCAAGGCGGAGAAGAAAGGAAACGUUCGUCGCCUUUUGAGGACGUGCCAGCACUUAUCGAAGUGUUUUUUGCUUGCCGAAUCCUAUGUUCAGCACACCAAGGAUCCAGGGAUACCUACGACAAGAGCCUGCCCUCAACUCUGGUGGGAAGACAUAGAAAUGAACAGGUAUGGUGAGGUACAGCGAAACCAUCGGAGGGUUUGAUCAGAGGUCUGACAUGAGCUAAAUUAAGUUUUAACGUGAACAUCAUCGCUCUGCUUGCUGUGUAGACAAUAAACCUUAGGAGGGUAAGGGUGGGAGUCA